Molecule: long non-coding RNA, 930 nt
Organism: Drosophila gunungcola (fruit fly)
Lineage: Eukaryota; Metazoa; Arthropoda; Insecta; Diptera; Drosophilidae
Exons: 3
Source: RefSeq, a predicted model, not a curated record
UGUCAAAUAUUUUUAAUUUAUGUAGUAUUGUAUAAAUCUUAGAUUAAAUUACUGGUCAAUUUUACAAAUUUGUUUUUGUACCCUUGCCAAUUUGAUUGAAUUCAAAUUAAACACGUAACCAAAUUAUAAAAACUUUUAGUAAGUUCAAAAGCAGCAAAGAUGCCCUUUCAUGUGCUGGAACCUAGUAUGUUAAGGAUGGGGCGCUCAAUUCCAGCCAGUAGAAUUACGACGGAGGACCUUAAACAUCGCUUACUUGCUCUUCAGACACGAGUCACUGAAUGGAAGUCUGUCCAGAAGAAGGAUACUGAUCUGAAUUUAAGUUUAUGGAAAUUUCAACUGGCCGAAUUUUAGUUUAGGACAUUAUGAAACAAUUAUAUCUGCAUACAAAAUGCUAUAAAAUUCUGUCAAUAUAGCUAGUCACAAGUUAAAUAUUGUUGGCUUGGCUUGUUCGUCUUUUAUUUUUAAAAUCCGAAGUCUAUCAUUCUUAGGAAAAUGUGCUGAUAAAGUAAAUUUAACACGCACCGCGUAAUUUUCUUUUUGCGUUCUGUCGCCUGCGAAAUUGAGCAAUUUAAUUAUACUCGUAUGGAAAAAUAAUGAUGAUGCCUCUGCACAUUCUCCGGAAAGCCAUUCCAGAUUGGAACCGCAGACACCGUGAGCAACAACAAUUGCGAUAUAAAAAGAAAAAAAAAAACAAAAUAUAUGUUUAAUGUCCAUAAUAAAAUGUAAAAACAAAAAGAUUGGCUUGCCCGUUAUCAAAGGAAAGAAAUUAAUUGGUAUUUAUGCCAAAAAUUAACAAUUAUGACAAUAAAAUUCAUUCUGUUUACUAUAGGAAUAUUCGAAUUGUAAUGUUAAAUUUAUCGUGGCCAUAAAUAUUUGCAAACAAAGGUUUAAAAUAAUGUUAUGUAUUUGAUAAUUAUAAAAAAAUAAUGG